UAAGGAUAGGUCUUCAAAAAUGAUAUUUAGGUUUCUAAUAUCAUUUUUUUCUAAACUGAAUAGUUUGCGCGAGAGACACUUCCAAAGUGAAAAAAAGUGUGUCCCCCCCCCCUGUAACUUCUAAAAUAACGGAAUUAAAAAUCUAAAAAAAAUAUAUGAUAUACAUUACCAUGCAAACUUCCAACGAAAAUUGGUUUGAACCAGAUCUAGUAAGUAGUUUUUUUUUUAAUACGUCAUAAAAAUUAAAAAAAAAAUUUUUUUUCAUCAAACCCAUACGUGUGGGGUAUCUAAGGAUAGGUCUUCAAAAAUGAUAUUUAGGUUUCUAAUAUCAUUUUUUUCUAAACUGAAUAGUUUGCGCGAGAGACACUUCCAAAGUGAAAAAAAGUGUGUCCCCCCCCUGUAACUUCUAAAAUAACGGAAUUAAAAAUCUAAAAAAAAUAUAUGAUAUACAUUACCAUGCAAACUUCCAACGAAAAUUGGUUUGAACCAGAUCUAGUAAGUAGUUUUUUUAAUACGUCAUAAAUGGUACGGAACCCUUCAUGGGCGAGUCCGACUCGCACUUGGCCGCUUUUUUCGCCUAGCCGCCAUCCGCCAACCGUCCAACAAGGAACUUCGUUCCAAAAAGUCGUUCCAACGUCCAACAAACUUAUACUAGAUUAAGUAAGGCGUGUGAAGCGCUUUAGGUACUCUUAUGUAGUUAUAGACCCCGGCAUGCACUUAAUAACAUAAUUAUGGUGUCUUCUGAUACUUAAUUAUAUAGAUAAAGAUAUGAGACAUUACGAAACUUGCCUCGCGACGUUGUCAGCUUGCUCAGCUUCGAACGCAUUCUGUUGAGCUGGCAACAACGCUACCACUGCGAGCAGUCUACUACAUUAUUUUGUGGAGACUAUGGGCCGGGCCUCUGCAAACUUCAUUAAUAAUUAAAUGCGAUUUGCGUAACAUGCUUGCAUUGCGGUAGUUGAUUUGCACAUCGCAAAAACGUUGUUAAACGUAAAUAAUGUACGCAAAAUUGUCUACAAAAAAAUUCAAUACAAUUUUUAAAUGUUGAUGCUAGCGAAAAAAAGUACUAAAUCUUUCUUGUAGGUAAUUUUAUAUAGAUUGUUUACGUGAAAGAACAUUUUAUGGUAUGGGCCACUGUUUACGAGUUAUUUAAGAAAAACUAAAAGAAGGGACCUUUAAACAAUGUAUUCAGGCCAUUAUUAUAGUAUUUAUAUAAAAUCGCAUGUUGCAAGACAUGGUAUCUGUAGAAACCAUAUUUUUAAAAACUGUAAACAUGAAGUCCUCUUAGGCCAAUGAAGGCCUUGUAUAUUCUCAAAAUCCAACUUUGUCAGUAGAAAAAGGCGGCAAAAAGUAGACUCGAAGGAUCUAUAGCCCAUACAUAUUUUUAAUUUCACGCCUUUUUCCAUUAGGCACAAAGUUUUUUUGCAAGAGUAUAAAGAACUACUUGCGUUUUAGAUAAUCACCGACAAUUAAGUGCAACAAAUUCAACCGAUCGGUCAAAUGCCGCACAAAUCGCACGCAAUUUGUCGGUGUGGUUUGUAGAGGCCUUGAAAAAUUUCGCUAAUACGAGUAUGUAUUGUCUUUUAAAAACGUUAAAAAUUUUGUUCCCAUUAUCUAAACUCCACAUGAAAUUAUGUUAAUAUUAGUCAAAUAAAAUCUAUGUAUAACGUUAAUUAAUAUGUAUUACAAGUACAGUCAAAGAAUUUAAUUUGUGACCCAUUUCGUACCUUGUCACAGUGACAAUAGUAUGAGGUCUCUAGCGAGUUUCAUGUUGUUUGUCACUGUGACAAGGUACGAAAUGGGUAAGAAAUUAAAUUCCUUGACCGUACCAACCAAUACCAACCUGAUUACGUUAUUACCUACAAUUAUACAUGCCUGCCUACAUAUUUUACAUCACGUAAAAAGGUAAAAUAAGAAUAAAUAUUUUUAUUUUAAUUCUUAAUAAUAUUUAAACGAAGAAAUAAAUUUAAAAUACAUUUCUAAGACCCGUGUUCAAAUUCAAUUCUAAUUCAAACGAAUAAAGAUACUUUGGAAUUUGUGGGGAUUGAUAGAAAUUAAACUGGCAAUACUAUAUCGUUGACUUGCACUGCAGAGUGCCUACCGCGAACCACAUUCGACGUGUUGCCUCCCUGUCACAUUUACGUGCGAAGUUACAAGUGCGACAGAGAGGCAACACGUCAAUGGUGGUUCGCGGUAGGCCCUCUCCUCUGUUUCGGAACGGAACAUACUGUAUACUGUGGUGUCUGUGGUUAGUGUGGUUUCGUUUCGGUAUGUGACUCCUGCGUAUGCGCUCCUUGUUAUUCAUUACUUUUUAUUCAUUGUUUUGUUUUUUUGUUAUUUGACUUCGGCAUUCUCUACGGACUUACGAUUGCUCCACGAUACGGAUUUGUUGACAAGGGAUAACGACAACAAGGCACACUGAACGGACAAAGAAACGCAAAAAACAUGGCUCCUGCCGGGCGCUGUCAAUACAUAAAUUGCCUAAAUACAAGCGGAACUCAUUCAUUAUUCCGUUUUCCAGUAAAGGAUACAAAUCGUCUACGAACAUGGAUAAACAAUUCAGGAACUGCAGUUGAAGUGACACCUGAUACAUCACCACAAAAAUUAAAGGUUGACCUAAGAAAUGUGUAUGGAAAACGAGCGUUGCAAGUAUUACACGAUCAAGAAGUGGGAAGCUCAUCAACUUCGUCAAAAUUUGAACAUGCAUUUGCAUGGAGGAGUGCCGUAAGAGAAAAAGAUUACUUCACGUGUAAAAUUAGCUACACAAAUAUUUUCCCAUUCAGUUGGCGCAGCGAUCAACACAGCAAUACAAACAGGAGAACUGUCAAGCCCUACUGCUGCGAACACAGCUCAGUUUAUUGUUCAGAUAAACAACUUGUUUGACGCUCUCAACAGCAAAACUAAAUUUGACAAGAAUCCAAAGAAAUGUGGAUUAACAAAAGAUAACGCUGCGAGGCAAGCAUUAGAAAAUGGUCUCAGAAUUCUACAAGACUUAAAAAAAAUUGUUGUUAAAGGAAAUCUAAAAAAGAACACUACGCCUCCUUGUUUCGAGGGCUUACAGCAAAGCAUUAAUGGCAUAAUACUUAUUGUACACAGAAGAAAACACCGAAGGUGUACAGUACUUGUUAACAAACAGGUUAAAUCAGGAUGUGUUAGAAAAUUUAUUUUCAACAUAUAGACUAAAGGGCGGGAACAAUAAAAAUCCAAGCGUUCGAAUGUUAAGGUCAGUCUUUCGUAGCUAUUUAACUGAAAUGCUAGUACGGCUACCGGGUCAUCAAAAUUGCGAGCAGACAGAUGUAUCAAAUUGUGACCUAUCUGACAAUAGACAGAACCUCACCAAGGAGCCGGAGCCCGAGCCUCAGUUCGGAUUCCGAGGAUAUACCCGAGCCUACAGCAAGUGUUGUGCCCCGCAGCACGGCCCUACAGCAAGUGGAGAAGGCUCCGACGCCCUGCACAAUGCACAUCUCGCACAGCCGCCCGCGCCGAUAGCACAGGGACUCCGACUCUCGAACAAUGCUCUGUCACUUAUUUCGCAGGAUAUAUAUAGCAAACAAAUGUUUCAACAACUUUAAAUGUAACAAAUGCUUGAUGUCGAUGACUAAAAAUGUCGAUUUAAGUGAUAAAAAAACAAUUAUUUAUACUAGAGAAAACCUAUGGGCUCGCUGAAAACAACAUUAAAAUGCCCAAGUGUCAAUUUUUACCAAGUCAUUGACGUUUGUCUAACAAAUUAUGAGGACCAAUUUAAUAUUAUAAAACAUAAAUUAAAUGUAUUAAAAAACAUGACUAAUCAUUUAAUAUGUAUUUUAAAAAUAGAUCACGCUACCGCAUGUAAUAUAUAUUAUACUGUACAGAGCAUUUGAAAUACAGUGUAGAAAAAUUAAUUGAAACAUAAAUCAAUUAUUACUGCAAAUCACAAAAAAGAAACAGGAUUCAAAAUCAACAAAAGCUUAGGUUGUUACAAAAUAAAUGAAAUAAGUAGUUGUCA
This is a long non-coding RNA of Cydia pomonella (codling moth), 3985 nucleotides long. RefSeq lists it as uncharacterized. The record is from RefSeq and is a predicted model, not a curated record. NCBI's taxonomy places the organism in Eukaryota, Metazoa, Arthropoda, Insecta, Lepidoptera, Tortricidae. The transcript is spliced from 2 exons.